ACGUUAUCUCUCUCCCCGUCAGUGCUAUGCAAAAUCCAACACUACCACAAGAUCCGUCAUAGUCCGACGACCAAACCCACUGAACAGCUCCGGCAGACACAUCCUCACGCGCCUCCAGAUCCUCUGACGCCGGCGGCGCGUCAGGCCCACGCGCCGGCGCGUGAACCACUUUCCGGCAGUUACGACCAAACCCACUGAACAGCUCCGGCAGACACAUCCUCACGCGCCUCCAGAUCCUCUGACGCCGGCGGCGCGUCAGGCCCACGCGCCGGCGCGUGAACCACUUUGCUGCAGUUUUUUGAAAAUUUUUUCUUGAGAUAGCCUGUUCGCCUUAGAAUUCCAAGCCUACCCAUAUUUUUUACUUUUCAAUUCCGAUCACUUUGAAUUUUUUUCCGGCAUCUAUUAUGAUUUUUUCCGGG
RNAcentral lists this long non-coding RNA (419 nucleotides) under Nicotiana benthamiana. Its description in RNAcentral is "long non-coding RNA (NBEN_LNC006060)". Lineage: Eukaryota; Viridiplantae; Streptophyta; Magnoliopsida; Solanales; Solanaceae. The record is from RNAcentral.